RNAcentral lists this long non-coding RNA (942 nucleotides) under Lactuca sativa (garden lettuce). Its description in RNAcentral is "long non-coding RNA (LSAT_LNC003964)". The record is from RNAcentral. Lineage: Eukaryota; Viridiplantae; Streptophyta; Magnoliopsida; Asterales; Asteraceae.
AGCCACCCUUCGUUGCCAAUGUCAUCCCCAAAUUAGUGUGCCGGUUAAACAAACACGCUCCACUAACGUUUGACAAGGGUACGAAGUGUAUUUCCAUGGGUUAGCAUACAAUUUCACAUUUUUCCUAAAGUAACUAUGAUUUGGGAAUUUGUAAAAGCAUUUAGUUACUUUGUACUUCAUUAUACUUAUAAUGGAAGGUUUCUGUCCUAUCCUACCCGUUCGGCUAACGACCCUCCACUAGUCAAGAGUGCGGUGGGUAAGAGUGGAUACCCAUUCAAUCGCCAUUUUAUAGGCAAUUUCCUUAAACACCCCUUAUAGACCAGCUUCGUGAAUGAGGCCUACUAACGGUNGUGUGAAUAACCAUACGAAUCACGUGGUGCACCCAAUGCUACUAUCACCAAAUCAAUGUGAUGGUUAGCCACACACGCUCCAUUGAUCUAUGAUAAACAUCGAGCCACCCUUCGUUGCCAAUGUCAUCCCCAAAUUAGUGUGCCGGUUAAACAAACACGCUCCACUAACGUUUGACAAGGGUACGAAGUGUAUUUCCAUGGAUUAGCAUACAAUUUCACAUUUUGCCUAAAGUAACUAUGAUUUGGGAAUUUGUAAAAGCAUGUAGUUACUUUGUACUUCAUUAUACUUAUAAUGGAAGGUUUAUGUUCUAUCCUACCCGUUUGGCUAACGACCCUCCACUAGUCAAGAGUGUGGUGGGUAAGAGUGGAUACCCAUUUAAUCGCCAUUUUAUAGGCAAAAUCCUUAAACACCGCUUAUAGACCAUCUUCGUGAAUGAGGCCUAAUAACGGUAAGACUGACUGUUUUUCUCAUACAUAUAUAUAAUAUUAGACUUUUAAUGUUAUAUAUAGUAUUGGGUGUAUUUUACACUUUUAAAAUACUAUGUGGUUUUAUUAACUUUCUCUUUUAAUUAAACUUUUAAUUAACUUAACA